RNAcentral lists this long non-coding RNA (272 nucleotides) under Lathyrus oleraceus (garden pea). Its description in RNAcentral is "Pisum sativum (pea) long non-coding RNA (PSAT_LNC018170)". The record is from RNAcentral. Lineage: Eukaryota; Viridiplantae; Streptophyta; Magnoliopsida; Fabales; Fabaceae.
GAACAAAUCUUUUCUGCAAAGCAACAAUGGAUUCUCCGAGUUGCAUUAUGAACAUUUCGUAUUCUUGACUCAAUGUGUUUAAUCUGGAUCUUUUAACUUCAGUGGUUCCUUCGUGAGUCUCCACCAAAGUAUCCCAUAUUUCUUUUGCAGAUUUGCAUUGAGAUAUGCGGAAGAACUCGUCCAUACUUAAUUCACUUUGAAGAAUAUUGAUGGCUUUCUUCUCAAUAAGUAUUCUCUUCUUAUCGUCUUCAUCAUAGGAGCUUUUGAUCUUU